CUUUUUGGAGACCACACGAGGCAUCCUCGUCCUGCUCGCCCUUCAGUCCCUAAGUUCUCAAUCUCUCCUCCUUCCUGUGUUAUCUCCAAAAUCCACACCUAAUCCCCAUGAAAUUGAGCUCGUUUUUGUUGCCUUCUCUGCUUCGCGCAACAUUUUUCCUCCAUAGAUCCAUGAGAGGGCGUGCAAAGGGCAGGACAACCGUGAUGCAAGCUCGUGCACCCGCUGCGUUACCAUGGUGUGCGAUGGCGGAGAUCGGUGCCGGCUGGGGCAGCGAUGCAGGAAACGGCACACCUCGUUGCUGGAAUCGGCCGACUGGAAAGCUGCAACCGGCAUCCGUUGAUGCUGGAACCAGUAAUCAUUUUUGCUACCACAGGCGUUUGGUUUUGCUGGAACCACCGCAAAUUUGUAAGUUUGCUACUACUGAUUUUCUGGUUUGCUGGAACAAGCUUGAAUUUUUGCUGGAACCAUAUUCUUUUUUUGCGGGAACCGACCCAUGUUUUUGCUACCACCCACUCACCUCAAAUCUGCUACCAUGAUGAUUUUUUGCUGGAACCAGCGAACCACUUUGCUACAACCGUUUUGGGUUUUGUUACUAUUGUUUGUUUUGUGAUUUUUUGCUACAUCCAUCUCCAUGACAUAGCCUGUUUUUCCAGUCAAUUUUGCUACAACCAUGCUUUGAUUUUGCUGGAAACGAAGACAAUUUUUGCUACAAUCAUUUUUUGAUUUUGCUGGAAUCGAAGAUAAUUUUUGUUACAUCCACCAGGCGGCGAGCUUUCUUUUUGCUGCAACCGUCUCGGAUUUUUUGCUACUACAGGAGUUGCCAUUUUGCUACUACCAGAGCCUUGCUCGAAGCAUCAGGAGUUUUUGCUACCACCCCCUUUUAUUUUUGUUUCGAUUUUUGCUGGAACCAGCCUAAAAAUUGCUCCAACCGUCGUUCGAUUUUGCUGGAACCGGCAUUUUUUGCUUCGCCGGUGGCGGUGAAGGCGGGUGGCGUCUUGCUUCGCCAGCGGCGGCUAGGCUGCGAGCACCGGCGGCGAGCAGAAGCAACGAGGGUCCAAAGGAGGGCAGCGGGGGCUAGCGUGCGGGAUCCCGCGAGCGGCGGCGGCGCUCGCUUUUUUUCCCUGUGCGGAGGAUGACGAAAGGGGAUGCGGGACAGAUCUGACGGUCCCGCGCGUCCAGAUCGAGCGGCUCAGGUUGGACCGGCCGAAACUUUGCGCCGGCGAUAUCGCUGGUUUGGCGCAUUACUCCUUGUAAGAUCAAGUAUAGCGACCAAAGGGGAUCAGGCGGUCUAAAGAAAUUCUGAAGUAGCACUGAAUGAAGCUUAUUUUAA
Molecule: non-coding RNA, 1330 nt
Organism: Aegilops tauschii subsp. strangulata
Lineage: Eukaryota; Viridiplantae; Streptophyta; Magnoliopsida; Poales; Poaceae
Source: RefSeq, a predicted model, not a curated record